UGGGGAAUCUUGCACAAUGGGCGAAAGCCUGAUGCAGCAACGCCGCGUGCGGGAAGACAGCCCUAGGGUUGUAAACCGCUUUCAGCAGGGAAGAAACUGACGGUACCUGCAGAAGAAGAUGCGGCCAACUACGUGCCAGCAGCCGCGGUGACACGUAGGCAUCAAGCGUUAUCCGGAUUUAUUGGGCGUAAAGAGCUCGUAGGCGGUUCGGUAAGUCGGGUGUGAAAACUCUGGGCUCAACCCAGAGAGGCCACUCGAUACUGCUGUGACUAGAGUGCGGUAGGGGAGCGGGGAAUUCCUGGUGUAGCGGUGAAAUGCGCAGAUAUCAGGAGGGAACACCAGUGGCGAAGGCGCCGCUCUGGGCCGUAACUGACGCUGAGGAGCGAAAGCAU
Molecule: ribosomal RNA, 392 nt
Filed under: uncultured bacterium
Lineage: Bacteria
Description: bacterial SSU rRNA
Rfam family: Bacterial small subunit ribosomal RNA
Source: RNAcentral